CCCUUAGACGUUCUGGGCCGCACGCGUGCUACACUGACCAGUGCAACAAGCAUCCGUCCUUGGCCGACAGGCCCGGGCAAUCUUUGAACGCUGGUCGUGAUGGGGAUAGACUUUUGCAAUUUUUGGUCUUCAACGAGGAAUUCCUAGUAAACGCAAGUCAUCAACUUGCAUUGAUUACGUCCCUGCCCUUUGUACACACCGCCCGUCGCACCUACCGAUUGAAUGGUCCGGUGAAGCCUCCGGAUUGGCGCGCACCCCGGUGCCGCCGAGAAGUUGGCUAAACCUUACCAUUUAGAGGAAGGUGAAGUCGUAACA
RNAcentral lists this ribosomal RNA (315 nucleotides) under uncultured eukaryote. RNAcentral describes it as "partial 18S ribosomal RNA". It matches the Rfam family "Eukaryotic small subunit ribosomal RNA", at positions 1470 to 1796 of the family's 1831-position model. The record is from RNAcentral.